RNAcentral lists this ribosomal RNA (376 nucleotides) under Harpiliopsis beaupresii. RNAcentral's name for it is "partial 12S ribosomal RNA". It matches the Rfam family "Microsporidia small subunit ribosomal RNA", at positions 752 to 1197 of the family's 1311-position model. The record is from RNAcentral. Lineage: Eukaryota; Metazoa; Arthropoda; Malacostraca; Decapoda; Palaemonidae.
CCCUAUUACACUAAAUAAAAAUUAGUAUGGAUGCUUGAGUAGUAAUCAGUUAUGCUCUUGAAAUUUAAAGGAUUUGGCGGUAUUCAAGUCUGGUUAGAGGAACCUGCUCCUUAAACGAUAUGCCACGAAUCAUCUUACUUUAUCUAGUUUUCAGUAUGUAUACCUCCAUUAUAAGCGGUGUUUUUAAAGAUGUGCUGUGAUUGGGCGUCCCAAGUAUAUUAGGUCAAGGUGCAGCCUAUGGUAAAGUGGUUGUGGGUUACAUUGUUUUAUAUAAUUCGGAUGUGUCUGUAAAAUCGGACUCUGAAGUUGGAUUUAAUUGUAUGUUCAUUUUAAUAAGUUGAGCAGAUUAAAGCUCUAGAGUAUGUACAUAUCGCCC